Molecule: long non-coding RNA, 601 nt
Organism: Bombyx mori (domestic silkworm)
Lineage: Eukaryota; Metazoa; Arthropoda; Insecta; Lepidoptera; Bombycidae
Exons: 2
Source: RefSeq, a predicted model, not a curated record
UUUUGAAUACAAUAUAAUAUAUCGUAGAUAAAUCUUAUCAAUUUAUAUGCAAUAUAAAUUAUUAACUGGUUAAUUGACUAAUUAACUGAAUUAAUUUACUGGUGGUAGGACCUUUUGGGAGUCCGCACUGGUAGGUACCACCACCCUGCCUGUUUCUGCCGUAAAGCAGUAACGCGUUUCGGUUUGAAGGGUGAGGCAGCCGUUGCAACUAUACUGAGACCUUAGCACUUAAAUCUCAAGGUGGGUGGCGCAUUUACGUUGUAGAUGUCUAUGGGCAUCGAUAUAUUACCACUAGAUCCCGCGUAAAGGCGUCAAAAGUAACCAAACAAAACUGUGCUUAGAUUCAUAUUAAGCACUGUUUUGCCGUCAGUGUCACGCCGACCGUCGAGUGAAACGAUCCUAAAAUGCGCUGUAAAAAGAUGUAAAAAACACGUUUAUAAAGAGAACACAACAUGAAAUUUAGUAUUUUUGAUUUAAUAACAGAGUAAUAAAAGAAAAAAGAAGCAACAAUUAUUUCAAACCUAAUUGCUCCAGUGUGGUUUGUGCAGACCAUUUUACCGAAUCUGACAUGUAUUUAAUAAAUAAAACAAUUUGAUGGGGA